UGACAGGAAGCCAGUCUGUGAAAUGGGU
Molecule: non-coding RNA, 28 nt
Filed under: Mus musculus (house mouse)
Lineage: Eukaryota; Metazoa; Chordata; Mammalia; Rodentia; Muridae
Source: RNAcentral